RNAcentral lists this ribosomal RNA (425 nucleotides) under uncultured bacterium. Its description in RNAcentral is "partial 16S ribosomal RNA". It matches the Rfam family "Bacterial small subunit ribosomal RNA", at positions 354 to 796 of the family's 1533-position model. The record is from RNAcentral.
GUGGGGAAUAUUGGACAAUGGGCGCAAGCCUGAUCCAGCCAUGCCGCGUGAGUGAUGAAGGCCCUAGGGUUGUAAAGCUCUUUCACCGGAGAAGAUAAUGACGGUAUCCGGAGAAGAAGCCCCGGCUAACUUCGUGCCAGCAGCCGCGGUAAUACGAAGGGGGCUAGCGUUGUUCGGAAUUACUGGGCGUAAAGCGCACGUAGGCGGACAUUUAAGUCAGGGGUGAAAUCCCGGGGCUCAACCCCGGAACUGCCUUUGAUACUGGGUGUCUGGAGUAUGGAAGAGGUAAGUGGAAUUCCGAGUGUAGAGGUGAAAUUCGUAGAUAUUCGGAGGAACACCAGUGGCGAAGGCGGCUUACUGGUCCAUUACUGACGCUGAGGUGCGAAAGCGUGGGGAGCAAACAGGAUUAGAUACCCGUGUAGUCC